GUGAUUUUGACGAAGCCAGUUUUUCAGCAAAGGUAUUUUAACCAGCUCACCAGCAUGCUAAGUCCUCCUCGUCUCAUUCUUCACUUGACUUCCUCCAGUGUUUUGGGUUACAAUGCCAGAAUAGCACUAAUCAAUAGCCCAGAAAAUUGUAGUAUUACAUGUCACUAUAAUGACUCGAAUACUAGUGUUUGUGUUAGCUUCUUAUUCGGCGGAGAUGAUGCCUACUGAUUGGAAAAGAAGGGCACUUGCAACAAAGCUCCUCUGAAAUUAUCCUCCCAGUGUGUGCACGCAGCAGCUGGCAACCUUCUGAUAACAAGCAAGUCAAUCUUCACUUUCUCAUUGUCUUCGUUGAGAUGACGGGUGGGUCUCUCCCUUGCCCUGAGUAUUUGGCAGAGGAGCUUUCCUGCAUUUGGCUGUAGGAAAGGGGGAGUUAGAAAUGGUUCUCCUGUCUUGGGAAACAUAGACUGAGGGAUCUUCAUUCCAACCUAUUUAUUCAGUGGGAUGGAAAAUAUGAAAUAUGAUUACAUGGAAAUUGCAAUGAAAUGUGAAUACGUGUGAUGUACACAAUUAUUGUGUUGACAGUGGCUUCUGUCAUUUGCCUGGCAGAUCUUGCAGAUUCACUGGGGUUUGUGCUAGAGUUUUAUUUCUGAGCAGCAUCUCCUUGUCUCCUUCUCUUCUGGACUACUGUAUUCCCUGGCUUCCAGAUCUCUCAUAUCCCCAAAGAUGUCAUAGGAGACAUUCCAAAGCUCACAGAGCUUAGAUAACAAACAUGUACUGCAUGCACUGCACCGGGCAUGAGUGUGUGAAGCCAACUUGAUCUAUCUGGAUGCAUCCUUGUAUCUUCUCCUACACCUCCAAAGCUCUCCCAUCACGACACUCUCACAGACGUAUGAACUACAGGGAGAAGAUAUCCAUAGAUUAAGUGCCUCAUGCAAAUAAAAAAGGUAUUAAAACAGCAGUGGAGCAGCAGAUGCUAUACCUUGCAUAUUGCUAAAGAUGCUACCUAUGCAGUUCCUAAAAACACGAGCCCUUCUAAUGAGAAGAAGCAGAAAAACUCCCAAUGACUUCAGUUGGGUAUAGAUUUCAGGUGGCAGAUAGAGUGGUGGUACUUUCUGAGGAAUGGUUUACAGUAGCUUUGACUUCUCUUUUGUACUUUAUAAAAUAUAUUCCAUACAUAAAAGUGUCUGCUUUGCAUUAAAAGCAAGUUUUCUUUUUUAAGUAAGUUGAAUAA
This is a non-coding RNA of Phasianus colchicus (ring-necked pheasant), 1231 nucleotides long. Lineage: Eukaryota; Metazoa; Chordata; Aves; Galliformes; Phasianidae. The record is from RefSeq and is a predicted model, not a curated record.